Long non-coding RNA from Cyprinus carpio carpio, 1275 nucleotides. Lineage: Eukaryota; Metazoa; Chordata; Actinopteri; Cypriniformes; Cyprinidae. The record is from Ensembl.
GGGGGGGGGGAUUUCAGACAUUUAAACUUAAACUAACUAGGUUAAUUUUAUGUUAGACAUUAGAUAUGUUAGACAAGCUAUUAUGUCUCACAAAAAAACAGGACAUGUAAUUUGUUCCUCUAAUGCUUGAUAUAAAAGUAAAGAGACACCAAAAUAUAGUCUAUUUACACCAGAGAAUAAGACAAAAUGCAUGAGAAAGCAAGACAGCUAAGGAGAGAGAGAGAGAGAGAGAGAGAGGCUGGGCGAGAGAGCGAAAGGGGAGGGAAGAAAAGGUUGAGCAUGUCUGUGAGAGCCAGCAGGCGGCAGUUCAUCAUGUCUGCCUUCACAGAGACGUGGAAUAUUAAGCCACGGCAGCUGGCAGUGCCCCCAUACACACAUUCCCAGGCAUAUGGAGCUAGGACAUUAAAAGAAGAGGAUGGUGUUUUGCAUACAUAUUUUUUGCUUCAAAGGUAACCUUGAACAAAACAGCAUUUAACACAAACAAAAACCCCAAAUCCAAAUCUAACAUUUAUUUGUGCUUUUCAGCAAAUUAAUGAUUAGGGAUUUUCAUAUCCAAUCAUUCUGUUAUGGUCCAGUACAGAAAGAGACAUUCUUCAUUACAUUCUUUGCCAAUCUUUAAAGAUUCCAUGAUGUCCAGCCAAGAUUUCCACUUUCUGCAGCAGCAAAGCAAGCCCAUAAUAAGACUGGUCCACAUGCUUGACUCUGGAGAUGGAGGUGCUCUUCUGCUCAAGCUUUUUUUUUUUUUUUUCACCAGUCAUACCACUGAUCCAUUGGUCCAAAAGUUCCAGUUUGGUUACAACACUCCAUAAAACAUAUUUUCAGAACUCCACAAGUCUAUCCAGAUGAAUUAUAGCAUAUUCAUAUGGCAUUUUACAUUCUUCUUGGUCAAAAGUGGCAUUCAGCAAGGUGUUCUCACAAGAAAGCUAUACUAAAUGUUUUUCAAUCCUUUCAUCAGGUCCUCUUGCAAGUCUUUGGCAGUAUAUUGAGUGUUUUUCUCAAUUGUUCUGAUUAAACGUUUUAUUGCCCUUGGUGAUAUUGUGCUUUUCCUUCAACACCCUCAAAGGUUUUCUGGUACAACACAUUCUUAACUUAUGAAUAAGGCUGCCAGCUGUGUCUCUAGGAAACUUCAGUGCUGCCAUAGGCUUUCUGAUGUAACAGAACAUUUUCUUCUCCAUACCCUUUGUGAGAGCUCUUUCGAUUUGGUCAUGUUUGCUAUUCAACUUUAGCACAUGCAUGGGCAAAAUGUAUGUAUGUGUAACAGCUCAAACUAGUCUU